Molecule: long non-coding RNA, 259 nt
Organism: Calidris pugnax (ruff)
Lineage: Eukaryota; Metazoa; Chordata; Aves; Charadriiformes; Scolopacidae
Exons: 2
Source: RefSeq, a predicted model, not a curated record
UUACCCGUGGUGCCGCGCGCGGGGCUGGCACUGACGUGGCCGCCGAGCGCCGCCAUCUUGUGUUGCCUGGGCGGAGAGCGGUCCGAGAGAGAGGCGCAAAGAGGGGGGCAGGCGGCUCCGAGCGGGACAACCCGAGGACAGCCAGACCCACUGCCCGGGGGCAGCCAAGCCGAUCGCCGACUUCACUGGCCAGUGAGAACAUAUCUCAAACAUGGGAAAUAUCUUCGCUAACCUCUUCAAAGGCCUUUUUGGCAAAAAA